UGGGGAAUAUUGCACAAUGGGGGAAACCCUGAUGCAGCGACGCCGCGUGGAGGAAGAAGGUCUUCGGAUUGUAAACUCCUGUUGUUGAGGAAGAUAAUGACGGUACUCAACAAGGAAGUGACGGCUAACUACGUGCCAGCAGCCGCGGUAAAACGUAGGUCACAAGCGUUGUCCGGAAUUACUGGGUGUAAAGGGAGCGCAGGCGGGAAGACAAGUUGGAAGUGAAAUCCAUGGGCUCAACCCAUGAACUGCUUUCAAAACUGUUUUUCUUGAGUAGUGCAGAGGUAGGCGGAAUUCCCGGUGUAGCGGUGGAAUGCGUAGAUAUCGGGAGGAACACCAGUGGCGAAGGCGGCCUACUGGGCACCAACUGACGCUGAGGCUCGAAAGUGUGGGUAGCAAACAGGAUUAGAUACCCUGGUAGUCCACACCGUAAACGAUGAUUACUAGGUGUUGGAGGAUUGACCCCUUCAGUGCCGCAGUUAACACAAUAAGUAAUCCACCUGGGGAGUACGACCGCAAGGUUGAAACUCAAAGGAAUUGACGGGGGCCCGCACAAGCAGUGGAGUAUGUGGUUUAAUUCGACGCAACGCGAAGAACCUUACCAAGUCUUGACAUCCUGCGACGGUGCUGGAAACAGUACUUUCCUUCGGGACGCAGAGACAGGUGGUGCAUGGUUGUCGUCAGCUCGUGUCGUGAGAUGUUGGGUUAAGUCCCGCAACGAGCGCAACCCUUAUGGUCAGUUACUACGCAAGAGGACUCUGGCCAGACUGCCGUUGACAAAACGGAGGAAGGUGGGGAUGACGUCAAAUCAUCAUGCCCUUUAUGACUUGGGCUACACACGUACUACAAUGGCGUUAAACAAAGAGAAGCAAGACCGCGAGGUGGAGCAAAACUCAGAAACAACGUCCCAGUUCGGACUGCAGGCUGCAACUCGCCUGCACGAAGUCGGAAUUGCUAGUAAUCGCAGAUCAGCAUGCUGCGGUGAAUACGUUCCC
Molecule: ribosomal RNA, 995 nt
Filed under: uncultured bacterium
Lineage: Bacteria
Description: bacterial SSU rRNA
Rfam family: Bacterial small subunit ribosomal RNA
Source: RNAcentral